GACCAGACUCCUACGGGAGGCAGCAGUGCGGAAUAUUGGUCAAUGGGCGGAAGCCUGAACCAGCCAAGUCGCGUGAGGGAAUAAGGCCCUACGGGUCGUAAACCUCUUUUGCCGGGGAGCAAGGGCGGGGACGCGUCCCGGCCCGGAGAGUACCCGGAGAAAAAGCAUCGGCUAACUCCGUGCCAGCAGCCGCGGUAAUACGGAGGACGCGAGCGUUAUCCGGAUUUAUUGGGUUUAAAGGGAGCGUAGGCCGGUCUUUAAGCGUGCCGUGAAAUUUUGUGGCUCAACCAUGAGAGUGCGGCGCGAACUGGAGACCUUGAGUGCGCGGAAGGCAGGCGGAAUUCGUGGUGUAGCGGUGAAAUGCUUAGAUAUCACGAAGAACCCCGAUUGCGAAGGCAGCGUACCGGCGCCCAACUGACGCUGAAGCACGAAGGCGUGGGUAUCGAACAGGAUUAGAUACCCGCGUAC
RNAcentral lists this ribosomal RNA (468 nucleotides) under uncultured bacterium. RNAcentral describes it as "bacterial SSU rRNA". It matches the Rfam family "Bacterial small subunit ribosomal RNA", at positions 329 to 793 of the family's 1533-position model. The record is from RNAcentral.